GAGUCUGCCUUGAAGAUCGGAGUGCUUGCACUCUGUGAAACAAGAUACAGGCUAGCGGCGGACGGGUGAGUAACACGUGGGUAACCUGCCCAAGAGAUCGGGAUAACACCUGGAAACAGAUGCUAAUACCGGAUAACAACAGAUGAUGCCUAUCAACUGUUUAAAAGAUGGUUCUGCUAUCACUCUUGGAUGGACCUGCGGUGCAUUAGCUAGUUGGUAGGGUAACGGCCUACCAAGGCGAUGAUGCAUAGCCGAGUUGAGAGACUGAUCGGCCACAUUGGGACUGAGACACGGCCCAAACUCCUACGGGAGGCAGCAGUAGGGAAUCUUCCACAAUGGACGCAAGUCUGAUGGAGCAACGCCGCGUGAGUGAAGAAGGGUUUCGGCUCGUAAAGCUCUGUUGUUGGUGAAGAAGGACAGGGGUAGUAACUGACCUUUGUUUGACGGUAAUCAAUUAGAAAGUCACGGCUAACUACGUGCCAGCAGCCGCGGUAAUGCGUAGGUGGCAAGCGUUGUCCGGAUUUAUUGGGCGUAAAGCGAGUGCAGGCGGCUCGAUAAGUCUGAUGUGAAAGCCUUCGGCUCAACCGGAGAAUUGCAUCAGAAACUGUCGAGCUUGAGUACAGAAGAGGAGAGUGGAACUCCAUGUGUAGCGGUGAAAUGCGUAGAUAUAUGGAAGAACACCGGUGGCGAAGGCGGCUCUCUGGUCUGUUACU
This 713-nucleotide ribosomal RNA is filed under the name uncultured bacterium. RNAcentral's name for it is "bacterial SSU rRNA". It matches the Rfam family "Bacterial small subunit ribosomal RNA", at positions 59 to 741 of the family's 1533-position model. The record is from RNAcentral.